Molecule: ribosomal RNA, 111 nt
Filed under: Heterocephalus glaber (naked mole-rat)
Lineage: Eukaryota; Metazoa; Chordata; Mammalia; Rodentia; Bathyergidae
Source: RNAcentral
GUCUAUGGCCAUACCACCCUGAACACAGCUGAUCUCAUCUGCUCUCAGAAGCUAAGCAGGGUCAAGCUUGGUUAGUACUUGGAUGGGAGAAAAGUCUGGGCUUCAAGGACA